This 643-nucleotide ribosomal RNA is filed under the name uncultured Alteromonas sp. RNAcentral's name for it is "bacterial SSU rRNA". It matches the Rfam family "Bacterial small subunit ribosomal RNA", at positions 68 to 707 of the family's 1533-position model. The record is from RNAcentral. Lineage: Bacteria; Pseudomonadati; Pseudomonadota; Gammaproteobacteria; Alteromonadales; Alteromonadaceae.
GGUAACAUAUUCUAGCUUGCUAGAAGAUGACGAGUGGCGGACGGGUGAGUAAUGCUUGGGAACUUGCCUUUGCGAGGGGGAUAACAGUUGGAAACGACUGCUAAUACCGCAUAAUGUCUUCGGACCAAACGGGGCUUCGGCUCCGGCGCAAAGAGAGGCCCAAGUGAGAUUAGCUAGUUGGUAAGGUAACGGCUUACCAAGGCGACGAUCUCUAGCUGUUCUGAGAGGAAGAUCAGCCACACUGGGACUGAGACACGGCCCAGACUCCUACGGGAGGCAGCAGUGGGGAAUAUUGCACAAUGGGGGAAACCCUGAUGCAGCCAUGCCGCGUGUGUGAAGAAGGCCUUCGGGUUGUAAAGCACUUUCAGUUGUGAGGAAAAGUUAGUAGUUAAUACCUGCUAGCCGUGACGUUAACAACAGAAGAAGCACCGGCUAACUCCGUGCCAGCAGCCGCGGUAAUACGGAGGGUGCGAGCGUUAAUCGGAAUUACUGGGCGUAAAGCGCACGCAGGCGGUUUGUUAAGCUAGAUGUGAAAGCCCCGGGCUCAACCUGGGAUGGUCAUUUAGAACUGGCAGACUAGAGUCUUGGAGAGGGGAGUGGAAUUCCAGGUGUAGCGGUGAAAUGCGUAGAUAUCUGGAGGAAC